Molecule: long non-coding RNA, 585 nt
Organism: Bactrocera latifrons
Lineage: Eukaryota; Metazoa; Arthropoda; Insecta; Diptera; Tephritidae
Exons: 2
Source: RefSeq, a predicted model, not a curated record
ACUGAAUAACAGCACAAGUGCCGCUGAAUAAUUUUCAAUUUUCUUAGUAAAGUAAAAUUAAAAUGUUCCAACUGAGCAAAAUACUUUUUGUAACGCUUUUGCUUUUUAACCUUCUACUCGCCUCGGCCAGCGCGAGGUAUGCAGACGUAGAGCAGGGGUACUGGAGAGUGGGAUCUAUAUUCCAACCGGAACCAGACCCGACCAUAUUUCGUCCCACUAUUGCGAGGGCACAAGUCAGUGGCGCACCAGCCAUGGAGCUCGAUAACGGUAUGGACUAUAUGGAAUGAUUAUAUAAUAAGGCUGAUGGAUGCAGGUCAAUGACUUAUUUCCUACUUUGCUCGGCGAAAAGUAUUUAGCGCAAGCUGUUUGCCGUUAUAAUUUCACGAAUGCCCCUCUGUGAAGAGAUUACCUCGCAAUGGUACAAAUAUUAUUAAGACAAAGCGUAGUUAAUGUUCACCUAAAUGCCAGUGUUUCCAGAGUUUCAUAAGCACUAUUCUUGUUUGUAUGUAUGUAUGUAUGUAUGCGCUUAUUUAAUAUAGUUCGGCGAUUACUCAGCCGUUUUAGCGAGCGCUGCGUUGACACUAA